Small nucleolar RNA from Lathyrus oleraceus (garden pea), 106 nucleotides. Lineage: Eukaryota; Viridiplantae; Streptophyta; Magnoliopsida; Fabales; Fabaceae. The record is from RefSeq and is a predicted model, not a curated record.
AGCCCAUGGUACGAACAUUAUUUCAUUAUUUCCUUAAAUCGCUCAAAUGAUUAGAAGAGAAAGUCACCAUCAUUCUGCUAAAAGCAUAUAAUUUGAUUCUUUAGUU